This 453-nucleotide ribosomal RNA is filed under the name Triticum aestivum (bread wheat). RNAcentral describes it as "partial small subunit ribosomal RNA". The record is from RNAcentral. Lineage: Eukaryota; Viridiplantae; Streptophyta; Magnoliopsida; Poales; Poaceae.
AUGAAGUCCACUGCUAGUUUAUACAGUUUCUUGGUGGCAGUCGACAUCAUGUUUUUUCCAGUGGGUUUGGCUAGACAUAUGUUCGUCACUAAUGUAGAGGGAUCAAUCUAUGUUUUCAAAAACGAGAUAGGUAAGCUUGUGGCUUUGGACAGCAUCAACAACUAUGCCAUCUUCAUUGGUCACCAGAGGUCCCUGGCCAUUGAUGCCGACAAGUUCCCAGGCAUCGAGGCAAACUGUGUCUACUAUACCGACAUUCUGGGUUCAUCGGCUCAUAUCUGCAAGUGCAACAUCAAGGACAGAAAAGUAGAGAGGAUCUCUGAAGCUGCAGAGUUCGUGAAGCGGGGCAAACAGUUUGUCCUCGUCGCUGACCGUCCUUCGACGAUCAUCCACCUUCUCUCCAGCUACACCAUCAACAUCCCGGAGUCUCAACUGGCCUUGCAACAGAUUCAGUAA